GGGGAUGUAGCUCAUUUGGUAAAGUGCCUGCCUCACAUGCACAAGGACCUGGGUUCAAUCCCCAGCAAACUCA
Molecule: transfer RNA, 73 nt
Filed under: Ictidomys tridecemlineatus (thirteen-lined ground squirrel)
Lineage: Eukaryota; Metazoa; Chordata; Mammalia; Rodentia; Sciuridae
Description: Spermophilus tridecemlineatus (thirteen-lined ground squirrel) tRNA
Rfam family: tRNA
About the family: Transfer RNA (tRNA) molecules are approximately 80 nucleotides in length. Their secondary structure includes four short double-helical elements and three loops (D, anti-codon, and T loops). Further hydrogen bonds mediate the characteristic L-shaped molecular structure. tRNAs have two regions of fundamental functional importance: the anti-codon, which is responsible for specific mRNA codon recognition, and the 3' end, to which the tRNAs corresponding amino acid is attached (by aminoacyl-tRNA synthetases). tRNAs cope with the degeneracy of the genetic code in two manners: having more than one tRNA (with a specific anti-codon) for a particular amino acid; and 'wobble' base-pairing, i.e. permitting non-standard base-pairing at the 3rd anti-codon position.
Source: Rfam by way of RNAcentral